GCAGCAGGGUCCUGCUGAAUACACACGGAUUCAUUACAUUACAUUGCCCUGCACACCCAUGUUGAGGUGCUCAAGAUGGGCCUCUGAAGGAAGCUUUACUCAACAGGAUGAUGCCCUGCUGGAACAACUUGUCCCCCGAAGCACCAACCACCUUUCAGAGCGCACAGAGCAGGAGCCCUGCAGCAUCACCAGCCUGCACCUGCCACGUCUGUCGUGCUACUGGAACAUUAAUCUGCUCUUCCCCUCCAAGACCCAGGGACAUAUUCUAUUCCACACCUGCCUCCAGCCUGUAUUUACCUUUCCACAAGCAGGGGGGAAGGAGUUUCUGGUCAGACAGCAGCACUGCCACCUCUCAAUCCUGGCUGACGCAAACUUUUUCACAAGUAGUCUCAAACCGUUUAGUGACCAUUAGUCUCUUCUAGCUCAUAAAACCUUCACAAAGGGAGAAAUUAACUCUCCCUUAAAAAAACCCUAACACUCUAAAUUCCAAUUCCAGUGGUCCCAGAAUUCUAGUCAAGUAUUUACUACAGUUUUUCAUUAUAGCAGGGAACACCCUAGAACAUCUUUCUGUUUAAUCCCACCUUAUGGGAUUCCUCUCUGGAAGCUUCAUAAAUCACAGCAUUUUUAAUCUUGCAGGAAACACACUGAUAAGGAAGUAAGAUGGUUUCUUGAACUGCAUUUCAAGCCAACAUAUCCUGCUUUCACUGCUCAAUUAAUUAUAGAACUGAAGGAAACACAGUGUCACAGGAGACGAGGAAGGGAGAAAAGUCUGUAUCAGAGAAAUUACAUUCACCUGUUGUACUACUCCAACCCCUUAUUGGCAUGGGGAAGAGGAGACUGGGAAAUUCCACAGCUGAAGUUCAAAUAUUUCAAGUGAGCUCAAUAAGUGCAAGGCUAGGCCAAUGCCCUUUAUUUAGAAGAGAGGCUGGAGUACAUGGGAUUUGUAUUCUUUGCUUUGUAAAGAUAUUUUUAAUGAAUCAUAUAGCUUAAUCAACUCACUGCCCAUCCCACAGUGAGGAAAUCUUAUUGUAAGUUUUCAUUGUUUGGCUGGCUGGUUUCAGCCCAAUGUGAUUAUUCAGUAAAACCAUUAUACAUCUUUGCAAACCACUUCAUUGUCUGCAGCUUCACUGCUAGUUUUCUUUGCUUAAUUUUCUUUUGUUUGGCAAAAUGAUGUAAUAAAAGGCUGAGUUGUAGGGUUCUUACUGUAAUC
RNAcentral lists this long non-coding RNA (1210 nucleotides) under Junco hyemalis (dark-eyed junco). RNAcentral's name for it is "lncRNA (ENSJHYG00000012467.1)". Lineage: Eukaryota; Metazoa; Chordata; Aves; Passeriformes; Passerellidae. The record is from RNAcentral.